GCCAGAGGAAACUCUGGUGGAGGCUCGCAGCGGUUCUGACGUGCAAAUCGAUCGUCAAAUUUGGGUAUAGGGGCGAAAGACUAAUCGAACCAUCUAGUAGCUGGUUCCCUCCGAAGUUUCCCUCAGGAUAGCUGGAGUUGCACAGUUUUAUCAGGUAAAGCGAAUGAUUAGAGGAAUUGGGGACAGGUUUGUCCUUGACCUAUUCUCAAACUUUAAAUGGGUAAGAGCCCAAUGUUGCUUAAUCGAACAUUGGCGUUGAAUGACGGUUGUUAGUGGGCCAUUCUGGGUAAGCUGGCCUGGCGAUGCGGGAUGAACCGAACGUUGAGUUAAAUUGCCUCACUGCCCGCUCACCUAGAUCCCACAAACGGUGUUGGGUCAUUUUGACAGCAGGACGGUGGCCAUGGA
This 405-nucleotide ribosomal RNA is filed under the name uncultured eukaryote. RNAcentral's name for it is "partial Eukaryotic large subunit ribosomal RNA". It matches the Rfam family "Eukaryotic large subunit ribosomal RNA", at positions 851 to 1258 of the family's 3401-position model. The record is from RNAcentral.